Molecule: ribosomal RNA, 303 nt
Filed under: Glomus sp. (unid)
Lineage: Eukaryota; Fungi; Glomeromycota; Glomeromycetes; Glomerales; Glomeraceae
Source: RNAcentral
CAGUCGUACCUGCGGAUAAUCAGCUUUUUGAGUGUGAUUAUGUGGUUUAUGAGGAGUUUAACCGCCUUCAUGUAUUGCAUAUUUGUGCUCUUGGGUGUACUUGUCUGUGUGGUAGGUUAACAUCAAUUUCGGUCGUCAUAAAAUGAUUGGAGGAAUGUAGCUUUGGUCUCGUAUCGAAGUGUUAUAGCCUUCGGUAGAUGUGAUGAUCGGGAUUGAGGAUUGCAACGGAUACCCUUCGGGGCUACCUGUCCUGGUCUCUGAUCGUUGCUCUGGUGCCGAAAGCUUGCUUACGGUCAUCGAAAG